RNAcentral lists this ribosomal RNA (1371 nucleotides) under Klebsiella sp. Its description in RNAcentral is "bacterial SSU rRNA". It matches the Rfam family "Bacterial small subunit ribosomal RNA", at positions 68 to 1433 of the family's 1533-position model. Lineage: Bacteria; Pseudomonadati; Pseudomonadota; Gammaproteobacteria; Enterobacterales; Enterobacteriaceae. The record is from RNAcentral.
UAGCACAGAGAGCUUGCUCUCGGGUGACGAGCGGCGGACGGGUGAGUAAUGUCUGGGAAACUGCCUGAUGGAGGGGGAUAACUACUGGAAACGGUAGCUAAUACCGCAUAACGUCGCAAGACCAAAGUGGGGGACCUUCGGGCCUCAUGCCAUCAGAUGUGCCCAGAUGGGAUUAGCUGGUAGGUGGGGUAACGGCUCACCUAGGCGACGAUCCCUAGCUGGUCUGAGAGGAUGACCAGCCACACUGGAACUGAGACACGGUCCAGACUCCUACGGGAGGCAGCAGUGGGGAAUAUUGCACAAUGGGCGCAAGCCUGAUGCAGCCAUGCCGCGUGUGUGAAGAAGGCCUUCGGGUUGUAAAGCACUUUCAGCGGGGAGGAAGGCGGUGAGGUUAAUAACCUCACCGAUUGACGUUACCCGCAGAAGAAGCACCGGCUAACUCCGUGCCAGCAGCCGCGGUAAUACGGAGGGUGCAAGCGUUAAUCGGAAUUACUGGGCGUAAAGCGCACGCAGGCGGUCUGUCAAGUCGGAUGUGAAAUCCCCGGGCUCAACCUGGGAACUGCAUUCGAAACUGGCAGGCUAGAGUCUUGUAGAGGGGGGUAGAAUUCCAGGUGUAGCGGUGAAAUGCGUAGAGAUCUGGAGGAAUACCGGUGGCGAAGGCGGCCCCCUGGACAAAGACUGACGCUCAGGUGCGAAAGCGUGGGGAGCAAACAGGAUUAGAUACCCUGGUAGUCCACGCUGUAAACGAUGUCGAUUUGGAGGUUGUGCCCUUGAGGCGUGGCUUCCGGAGCUAACGCGUUAAAUCGACCGCCUGGGGAGUACGGCCGCAAGGUUAAAACUCAAAUGAAUUGACGGGGGCCCGCACAAGCGGUGGAGCAUGUGGUUUAAUUCGAUGCAACGCGAAGAACCUUACCUGGUCUUGACAUCCACAGAACUUUCCAGAGAUGGAUUGGUGCCUUCGGGAACUGUGAGACAGGUGCUGCAUGGCUGUCGUCAGCUCGUGUUGUGAAAUGUUGGGUUAAGUCCCGCAACGAGCGCAACCCUUAUCCUUUGUUGCCAGCGGUUAGGCCGGGAACUCAAAGGAGACUGCCAGUGAUAAACUGGAGGAAGGUGGGGAUGACGUCAAGUCAUCAUGGCCCUUACGACCAGGGCUACACACGUGCUACAAUGGCAUAUACAAAGAGAAGCGACCUCGCGAGAGCAAGCGGACCUCAUAAAGUAUGUCGUAGUCCGGAUUGGAGUCUGCAACUCGACUCCAUGAAGUCGGAAUCGCUAGUAAUCGUAGAUCAGAAUGCUACGGUGAAUACGUUCCCGGGCCUUGUACACACCGCCCGUCACACCAUGGGAGUGGGUUGCAAAAGAAGUAGGUAG